UUACUUUGAGCUAAGUUUUGUAAUACCGCUAAGAUUUUCCCCUAAAAAUUAGCCGAAUUAUUAUGCUCUAAAAUAUCCCGCUCUUUCCAUGUUUUACCCACUCUACAAUAGAAUCUCAUCUUUCAUCUUCUCUACAAUUUGGCUCUUCUAACUAGGAAGCAAAUUAGUGUGGGUUUUAUGAAAAUCUAUGAUGAAGGCACUACGUCUCUUCUAGUUUCUCUUCUAAAAACUCAAAUAACUCUUUUCGUCUGGAUUUUUCGGCCAUCAGUUGCAAUUGGGGAUUUUGAUUUUUGGGCUUACAGUCGUUGUAUCUCCAUUUUUCAAAAGCUUGUGUAAGAUUUCUCUGAAAUUUUUGGUUUCAGUUUAAUUACUUUGUGAUUUGGCUUGUCUGAAAUUCCUAGAAUUCCCUUUUUUUUGUUUAAUGGCUUCUUUGAAGUUUUUUUGAAAUUGAUUUUCUUAUUUAGUUGAUAGCUUUGCGAUUUGUUUAGUUAAAGAAUUGUACAAAAUCCUAUGAUAAUUUUAUUUUGAAAAUAUCAGCUUUUUUGGACUCUUUUGAUGGUAGACGCAACAGCGAUCCUCAAUGUGGUGUUCUUGGCCUUCAGUAUCUCAUCGCUAAAGGCCCUCCCAAUGAUGACGCCCUUCUUUCCCUCAUCGCUCGAUCGUAAGCCCUCUUAUAUUUAUUUUAAAUUUUCUGCCUAAACUAAUUGUUCGAGUUAUUUAUAUAUAAAGAGUUAUUCCAAUAUUUGGUAUUUUAUUCACUCAUUCUAACAUGUCCAAAUUCUUGUUUUGCUCUAAUAUCAUGUUAUUAUGUAUGAAUAGACUCAACUUAAAAGCUUAAAUUGAUCGACAUAGUGUAUUUUAAAUGUAUUUAUUUUAAGUAGGAUAAAGGUACAAAUUUAUACCUCUUCUGUACAAAAAUAAUUUUAAUCUUUGCUAUCCUUUUUAUUUUAGAGGCAUUCAUACCCUGCGUUAGUAGACUGUCCUUUGACUUUAAUUAGCUCCAUCUUGAAAUGUGUGGAUAGCACACUUCGAAAUACUUUCGAAAAAUGUCCAAAAUUAUACAUCUACUUUGACUAUAAUUUAAAAUUAACACCUUAUACUUCAUGUUGGAAUUACGUUACUGCACAUCGAAAAUAUGUUAUGAUUUGCUAAUGAAAAAAGUAUGAAUGACCUUCAAAGUCUAAUGAAGGAUAAAACUAAAUUAUUUAAAAUAGAUGGUUGUCGAGGGUCUGUCAAAACAAUCUCUCUGUCUUUAUAGGGCAUGGGUAAUGCUGCGUACACACUAUCAUUCCCAGACCACACGUAUGGAAUUAAGCUUAGUUUGUUGUUAUUGUUAUUUAUAUAUAAGUUUUCUUUGUGAUGAAAAAACUCACGGAAUACACCAAAAGUCGAGAUUUGGAGAACCUUCUUACCAUGUAACUCUAUUCCAUUAAUUUUUCUUCAGUUCCAUUAGAAUGUGGGGUGGCAAUACUAUUAAGAACAUAUUUCAAUCUUGGUGUGCAUAUUUUUUACUUAGUGAUGUGCACGUUUGUUCCACAAUGUAUAUAAGCUACCUUAGAAAUUAACUGUGUAUUAAAUAGUAAUAAUCUAAACGUGUAGUGAAAGCCUCAACUCUAAAUUGAGUAGUAUAGUUCGUUAUUAUUUUCGCAGGAACAUGCUUUCUUCUUUGCUUCUUAUGUGAUAGUGGCUUCAAAAAUUUGUGGAAUGUAUUUAAUUUGCUUAAGUAUUAGUGUCAUUUUGCAUAUUGCUUCUAUAAUACCAUGACAAUGGAGUUUAUGAUCAUAAUUUGAGUUAUGAAGCAAUAAUUGCUUGGUUUAUGAAGAAUAUUAUUGCUUGGUUGGUUGUAAUAAAUUAUUGGUUGUAAAUUUGUACUAAUAAACUGUUGAAAAGAAUAUUAGUGUUUCCAUUUUUUUGCUUGGUUUAGAAGCAAACAUCUUUGGUGAAGGGGAAUAGAGCUUUCAUUUUCAGGUAUAAUCUUUCAUCUCGGUUAUUUUAAAUUUUUUGUAAUACUUCAACUAUUUAAUUACAUCUUCCUGACAUUGCUAAUAUAUGAUUCCAUCAGUUUCUUUAAGAUUGAUAGGCACAGUCGAAUGUUCUCUAGUAACGGCAGAAUUCUUGAAAAAUUUGACAAGAUGCUAGUUACUAUUGCAGAUUUACUUUAGUUAAAAAUAUUUGUGUCAUAAUUUUGAACAAGCUAAACUCUUCCCCUACAAGCUUUUAGUAGAAGACAAUUUAUUUAAUGGAAUCCAGUUCGUUUGUCCAUUUAUCAUAUAGAUUAAGUUGAAAUUAUUAUAGAAACCCAUAAACUUAAAAAUCUAAAUUUGCCUCUGUUUAUGCUUGCUUGUCCAAAAUGCAUGAAUAUUGUAUAUAUUAAACUAAGAUAUAAUGGAAGUUGUUGAACGAUUUAUGUGAAAGAACUUUAUUUAUAGCUUUAUCAGCUUUCCUCAACAGAAGCUAAAACUGCAUACUCAUUCAUUUCGGUCUUCACAUGACUUUUAAGAUCAUAAAUAAAUAAAAAAUUUGCCUUAGCUAAAGGAACAAAUUCAGUUUAUGAUAGGGCGAAAAAGAGGAAUUAUGCUCAAGGCCUUAUAUUUAUAGCAGACAUCUAUUCUUUGAAUAGUGCUUGGUUCUUAAAUUUCCUAGGGCAAACUCUGCCACAUUUCUUUGAGUUUGCACUAACAUACUAUCGAAUUCUAUCUAAUUAUUAAUUUUAUUUUGAUUCUAUAGGAAAUUCUGGUGAGCAAUUGGAAAUGGAAGCCAAAAGACAAUUUGAUGAAGACUUUGGACAAUUAUGAUUUUGUUAUUCUUGAUACUAUAGUGAUACAUUUGAUUUUGUACAAGUUAAUUUCUAGUAUGCACCUUGAAAUAUUUGAAUUUUUUGUUGAUGUACUACCUGAGAUUUAUUCCCGUUUUGAAGUUCAUUGCAAGUAUAUAUAUUCG
Molecule: long non-coding RNA, 2940 nt
Filed under: Nicotiana benthamiana
Lineage: Eukaryota; Viridiplantae; Streptophyta; Magnoliopsida; Solanales; Solanaceae
Description: long non-coding RNA (NBEN_LNC026222)
Source: RNAcentral